AAAAAAAUACUUCCUUUUAUUUUUUGGAAAAAAAUAUAUGAGCUUAAGCUGCACUAAUAUUGAAGAAAAUUCAUUUCAAACAUUCCAUUAAUGAACUACCACGUCCCCGUAGUGUCCCCGUGCCGUUUCUAUGGUGUUUCCGUCCCGAAAACGUUUCCGGUACGGGUACAUUAACCAAACUGCCGUCCCCGUGCAUCUCAGACGGCAACUAAUCCGGAGGCGGAGGAUCGGCCGAAUAUGGAAAGAAAGUGGGGAAAAAGAUCCAACUUUUAUUCUUACUUUUACUCAGUGCCAAUUUGUUUGGUGUUAGAGGAAGACAUCUACUUUGCUUUGUUGUUUAGAAUCAAUCUGUAUAUGAAACUCUCCGUCGUCUCUUUGCAGGUUUUUUUUUGCCUCUUAAAUUAUUUGCUAAUUGAUCGCUGUUUCGUUAGAUAGAUUUAACGAUUGAAGACACUCAGAUGAAGUUUUAUGGACAGAUUUCUCUUUAUUACCUGACCGAAGCUGCAAGCUUGUGUUGUUGUUUUUAUCUCUUGCAAUUACCAUUACGUAGCCCCUCUUAGGUUAUACGCUUAGAUGAGUUCUUCUCUUGCAGAUUUCAAAAUAUUUAAGAUCACAUGAGAGCCUGAGGUUGUGAUUGCACCAAGUUUGCAGCUUUAGAUGAUCCCUGUUUCCGUUCUUUAACAUGGGAGAUAGCUUUGAUCAUUAUUUGGAUGCGUUGCUAUUAAUUUCGAUACAAACCUUCUCAAACUGGGACAUAAUAAUGUCUGCAUUUGCCUCAGGCAGUACCGUUUCGUUACAUUUGUCCUCUUGAGCCUUACUUUGUUGGUUUUGUUUAUUGUGAGAGAGAGAGAGAGAGAGAGAGAGAGAGAGAGAGAGAGAGAUUAGCUUCCAGGAUAUGGUCGAGGAAAGACCCAUUGCAGCUGCUUAUACAGUUUCAGACGUGGGAGUUACUAGCUACUAUUGAUAAAAUGAAACCGACGAGAAAAAAUAAAAAUAUAAAGGUUGAAGAAAAGCAUAGAACCGGCAGUAGGUGUGACAUGCUUUUCAAAGCAACAUCGCAUCCUUUGCCGAAUUCAUCUUCUCUCUGACAACCAUUGCCGGCAGUUGAGUGACAGAGAUAAAAUAGAUGUUAAGGUGAACAUCAGACCUGAGCUAAGUUUAAUCAAAUGAAACAUAGCUUUCUUAUCUUUUUGACUUCAUUGUGGAUGAGUAUAAAGUCAGCUGUGUUGUGUGAAGGGCUACUUGACGCAUGUUCAGGGGAGACUCACCUGUCUAUAUUCAGGUCCCCAAUUGAGUGAAUGGAGGAGAUCUUGACCAGAGAAGUUAUGUGAGAUCACAGACCUAUAUUAGAGGCUUCUUCUAAAUUUUAAUGCCUCAGCUUCCGAAUCUCUCUUAGUCUCUCUCGCUCUUCUUCGUCUCAUGCCAUCAGCUACACUAUUUUUUCAUCUUCCUCUCUUGAGAUUCUUUCUUUCCAUAUGUAUGCUGAUUUAGUUUGUCAUCUCUGGCAACAUUGGCAACCAUGCAACAGCGUAUUUGCCAAGAUUAUGAUUUGGCUUUCCAAACAAAGAAGAUUUCCUUCUGGUGUUUGGUCUGAGAGUGCACACUAUGGAAAGAAUAUAUCCUCAACUCCUUGAAUCAUGCUUUGAAAAUAGAAGCAAUAAGUCAUGUAAUAGUUUACUUGAAGAUCAUAAUAUUCUGGAGAAGAUACUAAUUCUAAUGGCUCCAA
Long non-coding RNA from Brassica oleracea var. oleracea, 1726 nucleotides. RefSeq lists it as uncharacterized. Lineage: Eukaryota; Viridiplantae; Streptophyta; Magnoliopsida; Brassicales; Brassicaceae. The record is from RefSeq and is a predicted model, not a curated record. The transcript is spliced from 3 exons.